AUUGCCCUAGUAACGGCGAGUGAACAGGCAAGAGCUCAGAUUUGAAAGGCACUUUUGUGCCGUUGUAUUCUGAAGUUAGGGUCCUGAGAAACGAUGCUUAAGUCUUCUGGAAAGGAGCGCCAUGGAGGGUGAUAGCCCCGUCUAGCAUUGACCUCAUAUAGGAUCUUAACAUGGAGUCGAGUUGUUUGGGAAUGCAGCUCAAAUGGGUGGUAUGCUCCAUCUAAAGCUAAAUAUCUGCGAGAGACCGAUAGUAAACAAGUACUGUGAGGGAAAGAUGAAAAGAACUUUGAAAAGAGAGUGAAAAAGUACGUGAAAUUGUUGAAAUGGAAGGGUAGGCCGCUAACCAUGUAGAGCCGUGUUUGGGGGGAAGAUAAAUGCUGUAGAAUGUAGCUCCUCGGAGUAUUAUAGAUGCAGUUCAUAUUCCCACCCGAGCGCGAGGAUCUCAGGUUCUACUAAAUGGUGGUCUACCACCCGUCUUGAAACAC
Molecule: ribosomal RNA, 485 nt
Filed under: Starmerella bacillaris
Lineage: Eukaryota; Fungi; Ascomycota; Dipodascomycetes; Dipodascales; Trichomonascaceae
Description: eukaryotic LSU rRNA
Rfam family: Eukaryotic large subunit ribosomal RNA
Source: RNAcentral